This 57-nucleotide microRNA precursor is filed under the name Macaca fascicularis (crab-eating macaque). Its description in RNAcentral is "miRNA (ENSMFAG00000012303.2)". Lineage: Eukaryota; Metazoa; Chordata; Mammalia; Primates; Cercopithecidae. The record is from RNAcentral.
CCCUGCCCACCGCACACUGCGCUGCCCCAGACCCACUGUGCGUGUGACAGCGGCUGA